UACGUAGGUGGCAAGCGUUGUCCGGAAUUACUGGGCGUAAAGCGCGCGUAGGCGGACCUGCAAGUCGGGGGUGAAAGCCCGAGGCUCAACCUCGGAACUGCCUUCGAUACUGCGGGUCUCGAGUCCGGGAGAGGUGAGUGGAAUUCCUAGUGUAGAGGUGAAAUUCGUAGAUAUUAGGAAGAACACCAGUGGCGAAGGCGGCUCACUGGCCCGGUACUGACGCUGAGGCGCGAAAGCGUGGGGAGCAAACAGG
Molecule: ribosomal RNA, 253 nt
Filed under: uncultured bacterium
Lineage: Bacteria
Description: partial 16S ribosomal RNA
Rfam family: Bacterial small subunit ribosomal RNA
Source: RNAcentral